Molecule: ribosomal RNA, 253 nt
Filed under: uncultured bacterium
Lineage: Bacteria
Description: partial 16S ribosomal RNA
Rfam family: Bacterial small subunit ribosomal RNA
Source: RNAcentral
UACAGAGGGUGCGAGCGUUAAUCGGAAUUACUGGGCGUAAAGGGCUCGUAGGCGGCCAACUAAGUCCGACGUGAAAUCCCAAAGCUUAACUUUGGAACUGCGUCGGAUACUGGAUGGCUUGAAUUCGGGAGAGGGAUGCAGAAUUCCAGGUGUAGCGGUGAAAUGCGUAGAUAUCUGGAGGAAUACCGGUGGCGAAGGCGGCAUCCUGGACCGACAUUGACGCUGAGGAGCGAAAGCUAGGGGAGCAAACGGG